CACGUAGGGGGCCAGCGUUGUCCGGAAUUACUGGGCGUAAAGAGCGCGUAGGCUGUUUGGUAAGCGGAGGGUGAAAUUCCGGGGCUUAACCCCGGAGCUGCUCUCCGAACUGUCAGACUAGAGUUUGGGAGAGGGUAGUGGAAUUCCUGGUGUAGCGGUGGAAUGCGUAAAUAUCAGGAAGAACACCUGUGGCGAAGGCUGCUACCUGGAACAAUACUGACGCUGAGGCGCGAAAGCUAGGGGAGCGAACGGGAUUAGAUACCCCGGUAGUCCUAGCCGUAAACGAUGGACACUAGGUGUUGGGAGCAUCGACCCUCCCAGUGCUGUUCUGCUAACGCGUUAAGUGUCCCGCCUGGGGAGUACGGCCGCAAGGUUGAAACUCAAAGGAAUUGACGGGGGCCCGCACAAGCGGUGGAGCAUGCGGGUUAAUAGGAUGAUACGCCAAGAACCUUACCAGGGCUUGAAAUGACACGGACCGCCUGAGAAAUCAGGUUUCCUGGGCAACCAGGCCGUGCCACAGAUGGUGCAUGGUUGUCGUCAGCUCGUGCCGUGAGGUGUUGGGUUAAGUCCCGCAACGAGCGCAACCCUCGCCAGAUGUUGCCAUCGGGUCAUGCCGGGCACUCUUCUGGGACUGCCUGAGUAAUCAGGAGGAAGGAGAGGAUGACGUCAAAUCUGCAUGCCUCUUACGUCCUGGGCUGCACGCGUGCUACAAUGGCGGGUACAAAGGGUAGCCAAACCGCGAGGUGGAGCCAAUCCCACAAAACCCGUCCCAGUUCGGAUCGGAUGUCUGCAACUCGACUCCGUGAAGGCGGAAUCGCUAGUAACCGUGGAUCAGCAACGCCACGGUGAAUACGUUCCCGGGCCUUGUACACACCGCCCGUCAAGUCAUGAAAGCUGGCAGCACCCGAAGUCCGUUGCGACGGCCGAAGGUGAGGCCAGUGAUUGGGACU
Molecule: ribosomal RNA, 950 nt
Filed under: uncultured eubacterium WCHA1-48
Lineage: Bacteria; Bacillati
Description: bacterial SSU rRNA
Rfam family: Bacterial small subunit ribosomal RNA
Source: RNAcentral